RNAcentral lists this long non-coding RNA (699 nucleotides) under Ananas comosus (pineapple). Its description in RNAcentral is "long non-coding RNA (ACOM_LNC021582)". Lineage: Eukaryota; Viridiplantae; Streptophyta; Magnoliopsida; Poales; Bromeliaceae. The record is from RNAcentral.
UACAUUAUCAAUAAUAAGCCAAUUAUAUCUUUCUUCUUUUAAAAAAGUAUAACAAAAGUAUUUUUUAUAAUCAUAAUGUGACAAAGAACCUAAAAAAAAAAAAAAGAAUUUUUUUCUAGAAUCAAUAAGAGUUGAGCUGGAAUACUAUCGGUAGCAAACGGACUUCGUUGCCACCCAUUUGUUUUCAAUGAUGGAGCCUCCAAAUCAACGAUCGGUACUGUUAAAAAUGAUCUAUACCACUUGAAGUAUCUAGAAAUCAAAUUUCAUGCUUUUUUGAUAUUAUUCUCUUAUUCAUCAAGUGGGCGUAAAAAUGAACGGCUGAAAAUGAAUAUCCUUUAAAAAGUGAUGAUAGGAAUUUUAUAAUCAAGAUCGAGAGUAUAGAUCUUGUUCUAAAUAGUUUAAAGAAUUUUCUAACAAAAAUUCAAUUGAUUUGAAUAGCUUUACACCGUUAAACGAAAAAACGUCUCAUAUCGACUAUUAAAAUUACAAAAUUUGAAACCCUUUGAUCAUUAGGUCAAUGAUGUUGAAAAGAUUUGAAAUUUGAUUUCUAGAUACUUCAAGUGAUAUAAAUUAUGAUCAACAAUACCGAUCGUCGAUUUGAAGGUUCCAUCAUCGAAAAUAAAUGGAUGGCAACGGAGCCCGUUUGCUACCGAUAGCAUUCCAGCUCAACUCAAAUCAAUAAUGGAAAAGCACUUCCCA